This 32-nucleotide non-coding RNA is filed under the name Rattus norvegicus (Norway rat). The record is from RNAcentral. Lineage: Eukaryota; Metazoa; Chordata; Mammalia; Rodentia; Muridae.
UAGCAGAGGGUCUUACCAUCAUGUUCUGGUUU